This is a long non-coding RNA of Lepidothrix coronata (blue-crowned manakin), 301 nucleotides long. RefSeq lists it as uncharacterized. The transcript is spliced from 3 exons. The record is from RefSeq and is a predicted model, not a curated record. Lineage: Eukaryota; Metazoa; Chordata; Aves; Passeriformes; Pipridae.
UUCCAAAUGAACAAGGGAAAUGCUCCAUCUCUUGAUGACAUUUUCAAAGCAAGAUUGCAUACCCUUCUGGAACAAAACUUUUGCUAGAACCAGACUUUGAAAAAAAUCACCACAAGCCUUUGUAUGUUUUCAUAUGAAAUUCUUCACCCCCUCUUUUUCAGAGAGAGAAAAAGUUCUCUCAUUAAUGAUUGUGAGAGGCACAAGCAUAAUCUUUGCUCAACUGCUCUCAUACCUCCAAGUUUCUUCAUGUUCUCAACAGCCUUUUUGCACCUUUUUCAAAGUGAAAUGAAAUGCCAUUGCC